CACCCCGGUUCGCAGCCUGCCUCAAAUCACAACCUCAUCCAAAUCGACCUACCCUACUUCCACCCCGGCCACCUCGCCGCCGAGCACCUUCCGCUGUGGCCGACCACCAUUCGCCACCCCAAGCAUCCCACCGCAGUGCCUCCCCGACUAUUGUCGCCGGCCACCCUUCGCCUCUUCGUCCCAAACUAUCUGCACAAGGACGGGAAGGGAGGGAGACCCGAUGGGCGGAGGAGGUCGAAGCCGUUGCCCACACCGCGGAUCUGCCGCGGGGAUGCGGGAAGAAAGGACGCGGUUGCGCGGCCCCCGGAUCCGGCGAAGGACGUGCGCAAGAGGCGGCCAACGGGGCGCGGGGCACAACUCCAGAUCCGGGCGGCCCGAGCAGAGCGUGAAGCUAGGAAGCGGGCAUAUGCUUUGGGUGGCCGCCUUCGGUGCAGCCGGCGGCAACGGCAUGGCUGUAGUUUGGCGGCUAGGUUUGGGUGCCCCAGUGUCACCCCUGCAAGUGACAGGAAGUGAGCGACCAGGAACCAGAAGAUGCCGGCAGUCUGUGAAGAAGUUUUUGAGUGGCUGUCUGCUCGGAGCUACCGGAAGAACAGGCUAGCUGCCAACGCACAAAGACCAAGGCGGAGAAUGAAGGUAGAAGCUAGACAGAAUACCCGAGGAAGGUCGACCUCGAGACUUACUUGAGCCACGAGAAUAUUUCCCUUGAGUUCGAGAGGAUGUUCAGUUGCUUCAUCACUUAGCGUUAUUGAUUAUGUACAACAAGUUGUGUCUCAAGCUUGUAAGUUCUGUUACAAGGAUGAGAUUGUUAGAAUGCUACAAAACUUCUACGUGAUAGCAGUUGUACCAGUCAACUAGGAUGUCUACAUGAUGUUUCUUGUAUUCAUGGCAGCAACAAAAUCUUGUGGCGCAAGGUUAAGCUCUGAUCUUCAAAAGCAUUGCAAGCUUGGUGAUUCUUCUGCGGGAGACAUGUGGUCCUGUUUAAAUUAUGCUGUUUCACAUGAUGGUGGCGAGUCUGUUAUUCACAAGACAUCUAAUGAAGUCAUCCAAUAAAAAGGUUCCGAACAAACAAUUUGUCUUCCUAGACAUGGCUGUAGCUGCGUGUCAAGCUCAAACCAUUUGUUUAGCUUAGUUUGAACAAAAGAAAUCUUAUUGUCUAUGUAAAUUCUGUUUAUUGAUGUAGUUGGACGCUACUGAAUGCAUGUAUGGAUGUUGCAG
This 1215-nucleotide ribosomal RNA is filed under the name Triticum aestivum (bread wheat). Its description in RNAcentral is "partial small subunit ribosomal RNA". The record is from RNAcentral. Lineage: Eukaryota; Viridiplantae; Streptophyta; Magnoliopsida; Poales; Poaceae.